Molecule: long non-coding RNA, 402 nt
Filed under: Olea europaea subsp. europaea
Lineage: Eukaryota; Viridiplantae; Streptophyta; Magnoliopsida; Lamiales; Oleaceae
Source: RNAcentral
AAAUAAAGUAGUAAUAAUAAUAAUAUUGCCUUGGUGUUUUCACGUUUCUGAGCAUAUAAUUUGUUUUGUGUAUAUAUGUAUUCAUCAUAAAAACAUAUGAUAAGAAAUAAAAAAAAAAAAAAAAGGACACACAAUCUGCACACACCUAUAACCUGUUGACUCUCCUACCCAUGGCUGAAUUCAACCUCAUCAAGUGGCCGAUUUAAAUUUGGAAGCUUCUAGGUUGAGACAAUUCAUGAUUUGGGUUUUGUGUGCUGUAUAAUAUGCUUGGUUGCUAAUUAUUCCAUGUUUACAUAUUCUUCUUCCUGUGAUAUUGUGAACUGAUGUUGAUAAAAAAAAAAAAAAAAAGGUUUUGCAUAGUAGAUCGGCGGUAGCAUGUUGCUGCCGCAUGAGUUACACCGC